UUCGCCAUUUAAAGUGGUACGCGAGCUGGGUUUAGAACGUCGUGAGACAGUUCGGUCCCUAUCUGCCGUGGGCGCUGGAGAAUUGAGGGGGGCUGCUCCUAGUACGAGAGGACCGGAGUGGACGCAUCACUGGUGUUCGGGUUGUCAUGCCAAUGGCAUUGCCCGGUAGCUAAAUGCGGAAGAGAUAAGUGCUGAAAGCAUCUAAGCACGAAACUUGCCCCGAGAUGAGUUCUCCCUGAGACUAUAAGUCUCCUGAAGGAACGUUAAAGACGAUGACGUUGAUAGGUCGGGUGUGUAAGCGUAGCGAUACGUUGAGCUAACCGAUACUAAUGAACCGUGAGGCUUAACCUUACAACGCCGAAG
This 363-nucleotide ribosomal RNA is filed under the name Citrobacter freundii. RNAcentral describes it as "bacterial LSU rRNA". It matches the Rfam family "Bacterial large subunit ribosomal RNA", at positions 2580 to 2925 of the family's 2925-position model. Lineage: Bacteria; Pseudomonadati; Pseudomonadota; Gammaproteobacteria; Enterobacterales; Enterobacteriaceae. The record is from RNAcentral.